UUUUUAAUACAUGUCAAUUGUUGGACAACGUCAAUGAAGUGAAAAAUCAAUAUACCUUUUUCCUUACAAUAUGAAUAAAAUAAUACGAUGAAAUAAUUAUAAUAAACGAGAGUGAUAAACGUGAGUGUGAAGGAGUAAGGAGAGAGAAGAACGAACCAAAAAUUAAAUACGGCGGCCGCCGUUAACAAAUCGGAAUCUAUACCCAGUGCGCCACUUAUCCCGGUCCCGAGCCAAUCUCAUCCAGAAGUAACCCGCAGUCUUCCGAAUGUCGUCCACCCAACGAGCCAACGGACGCCAGGCACUCCUUUCGUCUGAAAGCGGUCACCAUUUCUGCCAUCUAUCGGAGGUCUUUUAUCAUGAGGGCUAUACGGACUUUAGACACAGUCGCGAAUAAUUAACGUGUGCUCUGUUUAAGCCAUGUUCGAAGAUUUUUGAGCCAUGAGUUACGUCUUCGUUCGGAUGAUCUUUUCUCUUGGGUCUUUCCUUGGAUGAUUAGUUGAAGUAGUUCAUACUUCUCGUUUCACAUGA
This is a long non-coding RNA of Cydia pomonella (codling moth), 528 nucleotides long. RefSeq lists it as uncharacterized. Lineage: Eukaryota; Metazoa; Arthropoda; Insecta; Lepidoptera; Tortricidae. The transcript has 3 exons. The record is from RefSeq and is a predicted model, not a curated record.